GUCCUAUGGAGGAAGCAGCAGAAACUCUGCUCUCCUCGUUUGGAUUAAUUCUGAUAUAAUAACUGUUGGUUUAUUUAUCAGUGGAGCAGCACAACAUUUUACACAGACAGUUUUCCUGCGCGUUGGCUUGUUUUAACCAGUUUUCUACCUUUGGCUGAUUCUACCAGCAGACACUGAAAGGACUCUAAUAGUUCGAGUGAAAGUAGCAGUUCCUCCUUAAGGUCAGAGAUUGCAGCAUCUGAGGGCCUCUUCAAAAGAAGACGUAGUUGAUGAAGACGUUCUGGAGCAGGACCAGAAAGACCACGACCAAGCAGCCUUGAGAUCUUAGACAGCGUCUCCCUCAGGUCCCUCUCUAUCUCCCCACACAUCCACCAACCACUGGAACACAUCUCCAAAGUUCUGCUGGGCCAGCUCAGCUUCCCCUCAGAAGAAGUGCUGCCACCUGCCAGAUGAAGGAGCCUUUUGAGAGGCAGCUGGCAUCGUGAUUGGACUGUACUUUGGUCUGUUCCAAUCCAGCUUCAGCUCCAGAGACGGCAGGCGGGACGAGUCAACGGAGGCCGGAUGGACGAAGGCAUGAAGCUGAGUACAAUCCAGAAAACAACAGAGGAGGAGUGCAGCAGCCCAGGGCCAGAACAACCAGAGUAGCAUCGUAUGUCUCUUAGAAAACAUCAUAGUACAGCCUUUGGGAUGAAAAAACGCCAUCAUAUACAUCAUAUAUUGUACAAAUAACAAGUCAAAGGAAAGAGACAUACAUUGUAGAAUUGUAGUAAUUGUGGGCUGACUGAUUUACU
This is a long non-coding RNA of Amphiprion ocellaris (clown anemonefish), 791 nucleotides long. The record is from Ensembl. Lineage: Eukaryota; Metazoa; Chordata; Actinopteri; Pomacentridae.